UGAGCCCCGUAGGGCCGGGGAGGCACCAGCUGCCGCGCGGGGAGGAGGCCGAGGCCGCAGCUCGAGGGAGGCCCCGGCCCUCUGCGCCUGUGUCUGGCAGAGCCGGUGUGAGAAGAAGAGAGAAUCCUUCCCCGCCGCCGGGAUAAUCAAGAGUUUUGGCCGGACCUUUGAGUACACAUCGGGAUAGUGAGAAGCCCGGCGAAAAGCACAGACUAUGGCGCUGAAACGGAUUAAUAAGGAACUUAGUGAUUUGGCCCGUGACCCUCCAGCACAAUGUUCUGCAGGUCCAGUUGGAGAUGACAAAUGACAGCCCAUAUCAAGGUGGUGUAUUCUUUUUGACAAUUCAUUUUCCUACAGACUACCCCUUCAAACCACCUAAGGUUGCAUUUACAACAAGAAUUUAUCAUCCAAAUAUUAACAGUAAUGGCAGCAUUUGUCUUGAUAUUCUAAGAUCACAGUGGUCUCCUGCUUUAACUAUUUCUAAAGUUCUUUUAUCCAUUUGUUCACUGCUAUGUGAUCCAAACCCAGAUGACCCCCUAGUGCCAGAGAUUGCACGGAUCUAUAAAACAGACAGAGACAAGUACAACAGAAUAUCUCGGGAAUGGACUCAGAAGUAUGCCAUGUGAUGCUACCUUAAAGUCAGAAUAACCUGCAUUAUAGCUGGAAUAAACUUUAAAUUACUGUUCCUUUUUUGAUUUUCUUAUCCGGCUGCUCCCCUAUCAGACCUCAUCUUUUUUAAUUUUAUUUUUUGUUUCCCUCCCUCCAUUCAUUCACAUGCUCAUCU
RNAcentral lists this long non-coding RNA (784 nucleotides) under Rattus norvegicus (Norway rat). RNAcentral's name for it is "long non-coding RNA NONRATT015793". The record is from RNAcentral. Lineage: Eukaryota; Metazoa; Chordata; Mammalia; Rodentia; Muridae.